RNAcentral lists this ribosomal RNA (858 nucleotides) under uncultured Nitrospirales bacterium. RNAcentral describes it as "bacterial SSU rRNA". It matches the Rfam family "Bacterial small subunit ribosomal RNA", at positions 28 to 896 of the family's 1533-position model. The record is from RNAcentral. Lineage: Bacteria; Pseudomonadati; Nitrospirota; Nitrospiria; Nitrospirales.
AACGAACGCUGGCGGCGUGCUUAACACAUGCAAGUCGAACGAUGAAGCCUGCUGAGCUUGCUCAAUAGGUGGAUUAGUGGCGCACGGGUGAGUAACACGUGGGUAACCUGCCCUUGAGUGGGGGAUAACAUCGGGAAACCGGUGCUAAUACCGCAUAAGACCACGGACUGGGAUGUUUGUGGUAAAAGGAUUUAUUCGCUUAAGGAUGGGCCCGCGCCCUAUCAGGUAGUUGGUGAGGUAAUGGCUCACCAAGCCUAUGACGGGUAGCCGGUCUGAGAGGAUGAACGGCCACACUGGAACUGAGACACGGUCCAGACUCCUACGGGAGGCAGCAGUGGGGAAUUUUGCGCAAUGGGGGAAACCCUGACGCAGCGACGCCGCGUGGAGGACGAAGGUCUUCGGAUUGUAAACUCCUUUUAUGAGGGAAGAUAAUGACGGUACCUCAUGAAUAAGCCACGGCUAACUCUGUGCCAGCAGCCGCGGUAAGACAGAGGUGGCAAGCGUUGUUCGGAAUUACUGGGCUUAAAGGGCGCGUAGGCGGUAUGGUAAGUCUGGAGUGGAAUCCCACGGCUCAACCGUGGAAUUGCUUUGGAAACUGCUGAACUUGAGUCAGUGAGGGGAGGGCGGAAUUCCUGGUGUAGCAGUGAAAUGCGUAGAUAUCAGGAGGAAGGCCGGUGGCGAAGGCGGCCCUCUGGCACUUGACUGACGCUGAGGCGCGAAAGCGUGGGGAGCAAACAGGAUUAGAUACCCUGGUAGUCCACGCUGUAAACGGUGAAUAUUAGGUGUUGGGCUCGCGAGGGUUCAGUGCCGUAGGGAAACCAUUAAAUAUUCCGCCUGGGGAGUACGACCGCAAGGUUA